This 847-nucleotide ribosomal RNA is filed under the name Trichoderma caerulescens. RNAcentral's name for it is "LSU rRNA". It matches the Rfam family "Eukaryotic large subunit ribosomal RNA", at positions 40 to 917 of the family's 3401-position model. Lineage: Eukaryota; Fungi; Ascomycota; Sordariomycetes; Hypocreales; Hypocreaceae. The record is from RNAcentral.
AUAUCAAUAAGCGGAGGAAAAGAAACCAACAGGGAUUGCCCCAGUAACGGCGAGUGAAGCGGCAACAGCUCAAAUUUGAAAUCUGGCCCCUAGGGUCCGAGUUGUAAUUUGUAGAGGAUGCUUUUGGUGAGGUGCCGCCCGAGUUCCCUGGAACGGGACGCCGCAGAGGGUGAGAGCCCCGUCUGGCUGGCCACCGAGCCUAUGUAAAGCUCCUUCGACGAGUCGAGUAGUUUGGGAAUGCUGCUCAAAAUGGGAGGUAUAUGUCUUCUAAAGCUAAAUAUUGGCCAGAGACCGAUAGCGCACAAGUAGAGUGAUCGAAAGAUGAAAAGCACCUUGAAAAGAGGGUUAAACAGUACGUGAAAUUGUUGAAAGGGAAGCGCUUGUGACCAGACUUGGGCGCGGCGGAUCAUCCGGGGUUCUCCCCGGUGCACUUCGCCGCGUUCAGGCCAGCAUCAGUUCGGCGCGGGGGAAAAAGGCUUCGGGAACGUGGCUCCUCCGGGAGUGUUAUAGCCCGUUGCAUAAUACCCUGCGCUGGACUGAGGACCGCGCAUCUGCAAGGAUGCUGGCGUAAUGGUCACCAGCGACCCGUCUUGAAACACGGACCAAGGAGUCGUCUUCGUAUGCGAGUGUUCGGGUGUCAAACCCCUACGCGUAAUGAAAGUGAACGCAGGUGAGAGCUUCGGCGCAUCAUCGACCGAUCCUGAUGUUCUCGGAUGGAUUUGAGUAAGAGCAUACGGGGCCGGACCCGAAAGAAGGUGAACUAUGCCUGUAUAGGGUGAAGCCAGAGGAAACUCUGGUGGAGGCUNGCAGCGGUUCUGACGUGCAAAUCGAUCGUCAAAUAUGGGCA